GCCCUUGAGUUUGAUCCUGGCUCAGAAUGAACGCUGGCGGCGUGCUUAACACAUGCAAGUCGAACGAGAAAGGGAUUGCUUGCAAUCCUGAGUAGAGUGGCGCACGGGUGAGUAACACGUAGAUAAUCUACCUUCAAGCCCGGGAUAACUAUUCGAAAGGAUAGCUAAUACCGGAUAAAGUUGAUUAACAUAAGUUAAUUAAUGAAAGAUUGCCUCUGAUUUAAGCAAUUGUUUGGAGAUGAGUUUGCGGACCAUUAGUUUGUUGGUGGGGUAAAGGCCUACCAAGACUGCGAUGGUUAGCUGGUCUGAGAGGAUGAUCAGUCACACUGGAACUGGAACACGGUCCAGACUCCUACGGGAGGCAGCAGUGAGGAAUUUUGCGCAAUGGGGGAAACCCUGACGCAGCAACGCCGCGUGAGUGAAGAAGGCCUUUGGGUCGUAAAGCUCUGUCAACUGGGAAGAAAUUACAACUAUCUAACAGGUAGUUGUAUUGACGGUACCAGUGGAGGAAGCGCCGGCUAACUCCGUGCCAGCAGCCGCGGUAAUACGAAGGGC
RNAcentral lists this ribosomal RNA (555 nucleotides) under uncultured delta proteobacterium. RNAcentral's name for it is "bacterial SSU rRNA". It matches the Rfam family "Bacterial small subunit ribosomal RNA", at positions 1 to 533 of the family's 1533-position model. Lineage: Bacteria; Deltaproteobacteria. The record is from RNAcentral.